Molecule: long non-coding RNA, 20346 nt
Filed under: Sorghum bicolor (sorghum)
Lineage: Eukaryota; Viridiplantae; Streptophyta; Magnoliopsida; Poales; Poaceae
Description: long non-coding RNA (SBIC_LNC004175)
Source: RNAcentral
UUUGUUAUUGCCUCUUGUUUAUAUAUGUAAAUAUGUGUAUAUAUAUAAAUAUAUCAUGUAUAUAUUUAUAGAAAGUCCUUAUUGCUAUUAUUAUGUUGACAUAGCAGGCGGGUUUUGGGUAUCUAUUCGGGUUUCGGAUAUCUGUGGGUUUGGUUUUGGGGAUGGAUUAUCACCCGAAUCAAUAUUUGGUGCGGUUUUGGGUUUCAAGUUUGGGUGCACAUAGAUUUCACCUGAUCUGAAUCCGCCCCGUUGCCAUCCUUACUUGCCAGGUAGAUCAUAAGGAAACUAGCAUGGCCAGUUUAGCGGAGCCCAUUUUCUCUUUUCUUCGCUUGGGCUCCGAUUCUUCUUAUUGCGCCAAAUAUUUUCCUCCAUCUAUUAGGAACUUAUUAAAUAAAGUUCAAUCUCUCUGUCGGUGUUUUUUUUUUGAACAUAAGGUCAGUCUUAGUGAAGAGGUUUAAUUUUAUAGUUUUCAAGACCCCAUAUGUUGGAAACGGUAUAGAUAAAUUUCAAUGUUAUUCAAAAUUAUGUUCUUGUAGUAUAAAAUAUGAUAGAAUUGCAUGAACAAAUCAAAUGAUUCUCAAAGUUACGUUUUGUAGCAUAAAGAACAUUCCCAUGUGGCCAUAAAACAUGAUGCUGAUUUGCUUCAGUGCAGUACGUAGUACUGGGAAGACGCCAUGCAUAUGCAUGUUCUCGCGUGGUGUACUUCACCAUCUUGAGUCGAUCGAUUCCUUGGUACCAGCAGGAACGCGUCCCGGUAGUUGGCGUUUCUGCUGUACCCGCCGGCCGCCGCCGGCCGGUAUAGUAGCAGUGAGUGAAUGACCCUAGGGUUUUUUUUUUUUUUUUUGGAAAGGUUCAACGGGGGGGGGUUGAUCCCCCACCUGAUUUUAUUGAUUAUAGCUCAUCAUUCAUGAUUACAAGAGAUUUGUACAGGAGUUUUCGCUAGAUUAGAAGCACCGAUUACAUAGGGGUGAAUGAGUUUUCCCUCCUCUAGAAUUUCUCUGCUUCUCCAGCUGCUCAUCUUCUUCCCCUCGAACACACUAGUUUCCACUGCUAUUCUCAGGUUGCUAACAAUGAGCCUAGCUAGUACUCGUUGGAGCUUGGAGGUCGUCAGGUUGCCAAUAGCUAUAGGCACCGAGGAUGCGGAUGAGCCGAGAGCAGACGCAGAGGCAGCAGAGAGCGAUGUGGUGGAUGGAUCGCAGCGCGGGGCGGAGGCCAUGGCCUGGCCGCUGGACUUUUUUGCCUGGCAAUGUUGGCCAUGCAUGGCCAGCAAGGGAGGAACAAAGGAUGACCGGAUCGGCGGCCUUGUUUACUUCCCGAAAUGAAAAUUUUCGUGACACUGUAGCACUUUCGUUUGUUUGUGGUAAUUAUUGUCCAACCAUAGACUAACUAGGCUCAAAAGAUUCGUCUCGUCAAUUUUGACCAAACUGUGCAAUUAGUUUUUAUUUUUAUUUAUAUUUAAUACUCCAUGCAUGUGUAUAAAGAUUCGAUGUGACGGAGAAUUUUGAAAAAUUUUACGUUUUUGGGUGGAAGUAAACAAGGCGUUCAGACUUGUGAUGAGAGCGCAGCGCAGCCAAUACUAUUACUGCUCGCCUGCGAAUCUACACGACGGUUCGUCUGGCAGCCCUGCACGAUACGUAGAGGUGCGCGCACAGCAGGACGUCUCGCAGCUGGCACCGGAAAUCACUGAGAUCCCGGCCGGGCCGGCCAUGCAUGCCCACCUGCGCAAGCUUGGCUUUGCUGCGCUUCACUGUUGAUAGUUAACGCCUUUGCCCUAGCCCCAGGGCGCGGUCCCGGACUCCCGGUCCUUUGUCCUCAUUACUGCCACCAGGCAUGUGUGGGAGUCAGGCAGGUGUGAAGACUCGAUCAAGACGAGAAAAUUGUGAGGUGGGCUUUAGUUUCUAAAAAAUUUUGUAAAAUUUUUCAGGUUUCCCGUUACAUCGAUUUUUUUAGACGUGUGCAUAGAGUAUUAAAUAUAGACGAAAAUAAAAACUAAUUGCACAUUUUGAUCGGAAUUGACGAGACAAAUCUUUUGAGCCUAGUUAGUCUAUGAUUAGAUAAUAUUUGUCAAAUACAAACGAAAGUGCUACAGUAUCAACAAAACCAGCAAAUAAUGGUGCCAUUGCGAUAGCCAGCUCCGCCGCGUGCAUCGGCAUUAGCCGUCAGUUCGUCACGAUCUCUUUCGAAAAAGAUCACCAAUCACUUAGCUGCUGCACUGGCGCAACUACAGUGCCCGUUGCCUCUCAAGAAACUUGUUCAAUCACUAUAGGAGAUAGACGCUUUGCCGAGUGUCUCUUGCACUCGACAACGGUCCAAAUACACUUGACAAAGUCUUUACCGAGUCCACACUCGACAAAGAGCACACGGCGAAAUUUUGGUCGGCAAAAGAGUCUUUGCCGAGUGUUUUUUAUCGGACACUCGGCAAAGUUAAAAAUAAAAAAACAAAAAAUAGGAAAAUAGGAAAAUAUUUUUUUUAGGGGAAGGUCUGCCAUCAGCCAGCAACCACCACUGCACCCUCCACCUUUUCUUUGGCAGGAUUCGAACCUACGACCUCAAGCACCACACUCCUUUACCACUACACUAUACCAUCAGUUGUGAUUAUAUUCUGUUUCGGUUCUUCAUAUAUCAUACUAAAUCACAUGUAAAUUGAUUAUUUGAGCCUCUAAACGUUCAAAUCAAAAAGUUGUCAACUACAAAGUUUCAUAACUUUUUGAGAUAUAUAAUUUUCAUUUAGGAAGUUUCUCCAUCCGUGACCGUUUACAAAAUUUGAAUUUCAAAUUUGAGAAAUUUAAACGUAGUUUUUGCAUGACAACAUGGUUUCAAAUCAAAAAGUUAUCGACUACAAAGUUUCAUAACUUUUCGAUACCUACAAAGUUUAUUUAGUCAAUUUUUUCAUCCAAGGUAGUUUCAGAAAAUCAAAAUUAAAAUUUUUCAAAUAAAGAUGUAGUUUUGCAUGACAAGAUAAUUGUCCACCAUAAAAUUUUAUAACUUGUCAAAAUCUAUAAAGUUUAUUUUGGUUGUUUAAUCAUUUGCUCACCUGACGCGGUAAUUCUAAUAUUUUUCACAAAUCUUAUAUAUCUCUCUUGUAGUUCUAGGAACUAUAAGAGAGAUGUAAAAUUUGUGAAUAAAUUUAUCUUCACUUUGCCAAAUGAAGAAAUGGCCAAAAUAAAGAUUAUAGAUCUUGAGAAGUUAUACAACUUUGUAGUUCAAAAUUUUUUUAUUUAAAUUUGUUUAGGGAUUCAAAUUUUGAUUUGAAAUUUUCUUUGCCGAGUGUUUUUUUUUUUUGCACUCGGCAAAGAGGGUUCUUUGUCGAGAGUAAAAAAACACUCGGCAAAAAGGGUUCUUUGCCGAGUGUCAAAAAAACACUUGGCAAAGACCUUCUUCGCCGAGUGUUUUUUUUGACACACGGCAAAGAACCCUCUUUGCCGAGUGUUUUUCUCUGUCGAGCGUUUUUUUUUAGCACUCGGCAAAAAAGCUCUUUGCCAAGUGCCCGAAAAAAACACUCGGCAAACCAUUAGACACUCGGUAAAGAACCGGAUUCAUAGUGAAUAAUGUUUUCCUCAUAUCCUAAUCUAUAAUUUUAUGGGACUAGGAGCAGAACAAAUGAUACACAAAUACGAUUACCAACAUGGAUAUUUCUUUUUUUUUUCCUGGAUGUAGGUACUGGUACGAACUCAGAACUAGGCGGGCUUAAAUAAUUGGAUAAUGUGUGCUUGCACUCUGUGUUUGAAUCGUAAGUCGUUCUAACGUUUCUAGAUACAUAUAGCUUUGUUAGAAGCAUCUACUCCCUCUGUCCGUAAAUAACUAUCGUCGUUAGUUAAGACUAUCUCCAUCAAUUGUUACCCAAAAUACAAUACUCAUUUGUCCUUUGGGUAGCGCUACAGGUAAAAGAUUCCAUACCUAUUUUUAGUCUUCUCCAACAACAAGACCUAAAAGACAACACUCUCUGCAAAUAGGUCUCAAGGAGAGAGGAUACACAAAUUUGGGUUAUGCCUCUCCUGAUACCCAAAAUGGGUUUUCUGUAUGGGUACUCUGUUGGAGGCUAUAGGUAUUGUGUUGGAGACCUAUUUUGGGUUUGGGUUCCCAAAUGGGUCUCCUAUUGGAGACAGCCUAAUGUGUUUGUUGCAAGUUUGAUUUGAUUUGUAAAAAAAUAUGCACAAUAUUUGUAUCUCCAAAUAAAGUUAUUAAAAAAAUCUUGAUUUAAAGAUCUUUUUAAUAAUACUAAUUAUGUACCAUAAAUAUUAUAUAUAUAUAUAGUCAAAGUUGUUUCUCAGAAAAUACAAAUCAUAGAUAUCUGGGGACAAAGAAAAUGGAUACAAAAAUAAAAGUUAUAUAUCUAGCAAAGCCAAAACUAUAGAAUGGAGAGAGUACGUAUACAUGAAACUAUUUUACAAAAAUUAUCCAAGACAUUCAUCUGCUAUCCCAUCGAGCGCCACUGCGUUGGGCCUUAUCAGCCGCUUAUCCUUAGCACUUCGCUGGCCAUACUACUACCCAUCGCCAGUGGGGACGAAUGUGCGCGUUUCAGCCUUUCAGGUAGAGCAUGGCCCAUGUACGUACGGGUACGGCCUAGAGCCCACCGAGAGUUCCCCUUUCGGGCUGUCCAUACCAUAUGAGCAAAUGGCCCUAUCGCGGCCCAUAAGGCCAUAACAUUAUUUAGCUAGGAGCUAUGUUAAUUUUUUUCAAAAGAAGAUAUGUUUGGUUUCUUGCACUUUUUGAUGGAGUCCUAUACUUCUUACGCUGAUAUAUAAUGAAGGCUGAUUAUUUUGCAAAAGAAAAAAAAAAGGCCGCGGCAGGAGGACCGGACGGCCGCGAAAAUUAUUUUCUCGGCAGGGCAGAAAACAAAACAUAGCCUUGUUUACUUCUAAAAAAUUUUGCAAAAUAAAAAUAGUAGCACUUUCGUUUGUAUUUGACAAAUAUUAUCCAAUUAUGGAGUAACUAGGCUCAAAAGAUUCGUCUUGUCAAUUCCGACCAAACUGUGCAAUUAGUUUUUAUUUUUAUAUAUAUUUAAUACUCCAUGCAUAGAUCUAAAAAUUCGAUGUGACGAAGAAUCUAAAAAAUUUUGCAAAAAUUUUUGAAACUAAACAAGGCCCAAACUCUGAGAGGUUGGGUUCGGGCAACCACCCACAGAACACAGGCCGGGAGGUUUACAACGCCAUUGUCGGCGUGGCCCAUGCAGCGCCGAGCCACCACCACCACGAGUCCACGAGGCAGCGGAAUCAUGGCGCGCGCAGGGGUGGUCCCCCCCCCCCCCCCCCCCCCCCCGCUGCUGCUUCUGCCGAAACGACGAAAACAAACAGGGUUUCCACUUUGCGCAGCAGUAGAACUGAAGGUUGUUUACUUCUUUGGACUAUAAUCUUCGUUAUUUUUUGUCAGAGAAAAAAUACUAAUCAAUAGUUGACGGAUUCGAAAUGAAAAAAUUUUGCAAAUUUUUUCAGAUUCCCUGUCACAUCAAAUCUUUAGACGUAUGCAUAAAGUAAUAAAUAUAGACGAAAAUAAAAACUAAUUGCACAGUUUGGUCGGAAUUGACGAGACAAAUCUUUUGAGCCUAGUGAGUUCAUGAUUGGAUAAUAUUUGUCAAAUACAAACGAAAGCGCUACUAUUCUAAUUUUGUAAAAAUUUUUGGAACUAAACAAGUCCCCAGUGUACUCUAGCAACUUGUGUGCUCUCGCUCUGGCGGCCGCGGUCUCGCCGGCCGGCCCGGCGACGGCUGCGCACGCUGUCGCUGAGGUCCAGUCCAUUGGCUCACAGGCACCUGGUGGGCCGGGUUGGCGUAUGCUCUGUGCUGCACUGCACCAUACCAUUAGCCAUUGCCUAUGCCAAUUGCCAAGUCACCACGAAGAACCUGCGACUGCAUGCUUGCUUCCAAUUCCAAGCUGGCCAGAGCCAGACGACCCGAGACGAGGCCGGCCGGCUGGGCCGAGGCGAGGCGUGCGCAUGCUGCAUGCAUCAGGUGCUGCCUGAUGGUUAACUUCCCGUGGCGUGUGGGAUCCUGCUGCUUAACACCAUCGGUUGAGCUUGUAAGUAUAAUUAAACGUUGAUGGCCAACACCGGCACCUCAUGCGCAUCCAUGCAUGCCUGAUGCUGAUGCCGAUGCUGAUGGCGCGCCCGUUGGAACGCACCGGAAUCUCAGAAUGGCCAAUGCCCACUGGGCAAUGGCAUCUCGAUCAGGCGCGUCGGAACGUACUGGACCCCAAGACAAGCGUUUCUUGUCUGUACUAGUACCUACGUACUGGACCCAAGACAAGACCACACACGUUGCCAGGUCUGCUCGUACGCUACCGCUGCCCAACCCUCAACUGUACGUACGUAGGAGUACCGACUACGUACCGGCUACUCCUACGUCUCCAGUGUACUGUACAGUACAAGCUGAUGGUGCUGUGCUGGCCAGUGUACAGUACAACGGAUGGAAGCAAGCAGCACGAGCUGUGUCGGCCUGCCGGUACGUAGCUUCUCUGCACAACACAACACAACACUGCGACUCGCGGUUCGGGAUCAAACGCAGAUGGGCAGGGUAAAGCGUGCCAGCGUGUCGCGUUGCGUCGCCACGCGCCAAUAAAACGGAGACGGAUGGUGGAUGAUUCCUUUUCCUCCAGCACGCACCAGCAGCACCCGGCAGCUCUGGCGCUGUGACGUGUGGGGAACAGCGGUCGCGUGGAUCCAGGGCGCUGUCCCCCGAAUCCACGGCCAGUAGUAUACCGGAGCGGAGCGACGGUGAAAUCGCAACGUUAAUCACGGGUUGACUGGCCUCAAAGUUGGUGACACAGCCAAAACACAAACCCCAAGAAAGGCAGCCUGGCAUGCAGCAUCUACGUACACUGCACUGGUGCUUUCGUCAGGCCAGGGAGCGCUGCAGCUGCUACCACCUGUACACGGGGCGCAGCAGCACUCACUGACAGGUGUGUCACGCUGAGAUCCAUCCUACUGGUGUCUGGUGUGAUGUCAAGAUUAACCAUGGCCGGACCGGAGUGACACUAGGGUAGCUUUAAAUAUUUAAGCCUUGGCAUUGUUUAGAGGUGAAAUGUUUUUUAUUUCGCUACCGUAGCACUUUCGUUUAUUUAUGGUAAACAUUGUUCAAUUAUGGACUAACUAGAAUUAAAAAAUUUGUCUCUCGAUUUAUAGGCAAACUGUGUAAUUAGUUUUUUUUUCGUCUAUAUUUAAUACUUCAUGCAUGUUACACAAGAUUCGAUGUGACGUGGAAUCUUAAAACUUUUUGGUUUUUUGUGGGAACUAAACAUGGCCCUUGUUCAGUUCCUAAAAUUUUUUGUUUUCAGAUACCGUACCACUUUCGUUUUAGUUUGACAAAUAUUAUUCAAUAAUGAACUAAGGUAGUCUCAAUGCAUAGUUUCAUAACAUAGUUACCAACACUAUAAAUUAGUUAACCGAGUCACAUGAGUUUCAUAUGGAUAAAACUCCUCUCUCAUAUAAUGAAACUCCUCCAUUUAAUGAUUCUGACAAGUCAGCAAUUUUGUUUAUAUGACACCCUAUUUAAUAUGUAUGACACUGUUAUAAAAUAUGCAUUAAGACUACCUAACUAAGGUCAAAAGAUUCAUCUCGCGAUUUAUAAGCAAACUGUGAAAUUAGUUUUUGUUUUCGUCUAUAUUUAAUAAUAUAUAUGCAUGUGCACAAGAUUUGAUGUAACAGAGAAUCUUGAUUUUUUUUUUUAAUAAACAAGACCUUUGGGGCUUAAUCAAGAAGCGAAAGAAAGCUAGAGUUGCGGUGUCAUCAUGAGUUCUCGUGAUGAUUGGCUGGGUGGUGGUUAAGCUACUUCGCUAACCGUUAGGGCGGGCUGUACGACGUCACAUGGGAGGUGGUCUUAUCCAUAAACCUUCAUUGACAGUUGAACUAGUACUAAAUCGAGAGGUGAUGAUCGAGCUGAUAGCAUUAAGCCUAAACCCUAAAACAUCCCCCCCCCCCCCCCCCCCCCCCACAGAGGUAAAGCUCAGCUAGUUUAGUAAUCCGUCACUAACGGAGCAGGUGUUGCGUGCAGCUAGCGUGCGUCGUCAUAUGGUUGCGGCGACGUAUUUGCUUAGUUUGCGAUAACUUUUGUAAAAUUGUUUAGAUUUAUCGUCAUAUUAAACCUUACUGCAUAUGAAUAAACAUUAAAUAUAUAUUUAAAAAAUAACUAAUUCUAUAAUCUAUAUCUAUAUCUUAUCUAUAAAUAGCCAAAAUUUCGGUCUGCCAAUAGAUUUCUUCUGCCACCAUGUUCGAGCCAUGUUCGUUCUGUACGCAACCAAUCCGAUAUUGAAUCAAAAUCAGCAAAUCCAUCCAAAUCCAAAUCAACCAGCAGACUAACUCUAGACAAACAACAACUUAUUUCUGCCGACCUCCACGACAAUCACCACGAAAUCAACAGAAAUCGAUUUCUUCUCUAAAAUCAACAAAAUCACGUAUGGUGGGCUUGGGGCUUGGGAGCUCACCGGCUUGGCCUCGGCGGCGGCGUCGAGGCUGAGGGCAAGGGGGAAGGGGUGGUCCCCGCGCGGCACCUGCGCCGGCGUGUCCCCUGGCGGCGGCGGAGGCUGUGGAGGGGAAGGCGAAGAAGUGCUCGAGGAAGUCGUCCUUGGAGCACCCGGGCGGCGGCAACUGCCCCGCCAUGUUCGGCGACGUGGGGGCGGAGACGGGCCCCAUGCGUCACGGCCCGAAACUUCGGGCGGCUCACGACAAGCAGACAAGCGCAGUAGCGGCCGUCCGCCAUCGCGAUCUCAGAGGUGAUCAGAUCGGGAUUAGGACGAGUGGUAGUGGAGGCGUGGAGCCCUGAGAUCUCUCCCUCCCAUCCCUACUUGCUCCUGUCGUCCAACGGGUGGACGAGAUUUUGUCUCCGUUUACUUGGCCGGUCGGGAUGGGAUUUCGUCUUCGUUACUUGGCCGGUUGGUCUCGGGGUGGGAGGAAAAUUUCUGUCUGCCCUGUCCGCUCGUCGCCGGAAUCCCCUACUUCAACGUUGUUAGAGGAGGAAAAAUAAAAUAGAAGCUUCUUUAAGGUUCCCAAUGCAAAAUUGUUUGACAACAUCAGGAGAUGUUGAAAAUAAGGAAAAUACAUCGGUUUAUGUGCAAAAUGUUUAUCCUAUUAGUUUACUUUUUUAUUCUUUAAAUCAGCUGAAAAUUGAUAAAUGCUUAGUAAUUUAUAGAAAAAUCUAAAAAUUACAAGAUAAAUUUUGUUCAGCUCCACAUAUGUAGAUCCAUGCAGUGAACAAAAAAUAUCACAAAUUUUAGUAUAUUUUUUUGCUGGAGAUGUUUCUGUAUGCUUUUUAGUGUAAAAUUGAAAUUGUAGUUAUCUUGCUCCACUUAUUAUGAAACUUUUAUGGUUGCCUAUUUAAUAUGAUGCUUGAUUUGUGGUAAAAGUUUUAGCACAAUUCCUACAUAUCUCACUGAUUUACUAAUUUACCUAGAUUUAUGCUUUAGUUGACAAUCAAUUUAAGUAUGUAAAAAUAAAAAAGAUGCUUCCACUAUCUUUGCACGAUGUGUUGUUAUGUCAUAUGAACACAUUAUAAGCCCAUAUGUUUAUAAUCUACACUCAUUUAACUGAUAUAUUAUAUUUCAUAGGAAUUCUAAUCUAAAUAAAAAAACGCUAGCAACAAACUUCUCAUGUUUUAAUAUAAUACUAAGGUAUAUUAAGAGAUAAUAUUAGAGUAAGAUUAGGUUUGCCAAAUUUAUAUUUUUAUUAUUAAAUAAAUAUGUCUACAAGCUAUAUAUUAUUGUAAAUAUUAACUAUCUAAUACUAUAGAUGUCAUGGUUAUCAAUAAAAUAAAUUAUGGACUUUAAAUUUUAUAAAAAAGAAUAAAUAUAAAUAGAUAUGUAACAUUAUAUCAUCACUUAUUAUGGUCAUUUGAUGUUUUUCUCCCGUUGCAACGCACGGACAUAUUUGCUAGUUUAUAUGUAAUUUGCAAGAUAAAUCUUUUCAGUCUAAUUUAGUCUAUAAUUAAAUAUAUUUGUCAAAUAUAAAAAAAUGCUAUGGUGCUUAUUUUUUGAAACUUUUUUACAACUAAACAAGGUCAUUCCGUGAGAGUAUAUGUAGCAAUAGCAAUAAAUAAGCGGCCAUCGAUAUCUUGAGAGAGAGAGAGAAAGCUCGGUCCAAAUUCCCGAUGCAAUUUCUUGCAUGUCGACCAUGCAUGCAAGAUGCAUUGCACCGGCGGGCCCUCCUCCUGGUCACUGACUGACCGUACCACCGUGGCAACGGCCCCAUCCAACUGUCCGGACUCCUCCAGACCACCCAUGAGGAUGAGGUCCACGGCCGCGGCUGCGCCACGUUCCUGAAGCGGUCCGAGUCCCAUCCGUCCGUUCCGCGGGCGCUGACGAGUCCGCGGACGCAUGUCCUUCUCCGGCUCUCGCCCUCGGCGUCUGGCUGGCGCCUGGCGGGCGAUUCGCGGCCGGCUACCUCUCUGCCAGUCCGUCGGAGGACUCCGCCGCUCCCCGUCGCGAGCGUUCAACGGGCACGGCAACGAGGACGAAUUCAUACAAGCACAAGAGGACGGGGGGUGGUUUGUGGCCUUGUUUCUGGCACGUGUUAAACGGGAUCUGAACACCCUAUCAAGCAGUCACGAAGGCCAAGGCUGUUGGUCUCUCUGCCGUCGAAUGGAGUGGUUGAUCAUGACCAUGGACUUUGGCCUGGUUAAGUUUUCAAAUUUUUUGAUUCAGAAUACUGUAUCACUUUUGUUUGUUUGUGUUAAAAAUAUUUUUUAAAAUUAUUUCAAUUAUGGACUAACUAGACUCAAAAAGAUUUUUCUCGUGAUUUAUAGAUAAACUGUGCAAUUAGUUUUUAUUUUUGAGUAUAUUUAAUACUUCAUAUAUGUGCCGCAAGAUUUCAUAUUACAUGAAUUCUUAAAAAGUUUUUUGUUUUAUGUGGCCUUCGUAGUUUUCCACCUCACAACAGGGACCCGCUGCACGCCUUGUUUAGUUCUAAAAAAAUAGAAAAAUUAUUCCACGUCAUAUCUCGUCGCCUAGAACGACCCAGACCGCAUCGCAUGGUCUGGUACCGGACACACCGAAUCGACCCAGCCUGGGCAUACGAGGACCAUAUCGCCAACUCGUUAACCCUAGGCUGUUCAUCACCGACGCCGCAGCACCGAGAUCGUACCGAGACGCGCUGAUGGCUGGAGGAGAAGUGCGACGGAGAUGGAACCGGGGCGCCCUAAAACGUGGAGGCUCUUCUGGCCAACGCGGACGAGGAAGGGCAGUCGUCCAGGACGGCGGCGUUUCUGAUCAAGGUCACGGUCGGGAGGAAGGGCACGAACAGCGUGGUCUUGGUGGCCGAGGGCGGCCUCCCCCAGCACACGGGCGCGGAGGGCCAGCACCGCGUGCUGGUCGCGGAGGAUCAGCACCGUCUGCUGGUCGCGGAGGACCAGCACCAUCUGUGGGUCGUGGUGACCCCCAUGGUCGCGACCGAAUCCCUAGGCCGACCAAGGCGGGUGCGCUCGACCAUGGUCCUUCUUCUGAACCUGCGCGCGGAACUGAGGAUGCUGUGGAGGGCACGCAGGAACACAAGGAGGACACCAACGCAGGGCCUGGUUCCACGGUGGAUGCGGAUCAUGCCAAGAAGCGGAAGCGCAAGGGUCCUUCGGUGAAAUUGGAUUGCUCCAUAUGCACUGAAGAGCACUACACCCACCUCUGCCCUUUACUGAGAGGUCCCAAACCAUCGGUCGCUUUCUGCGGCGCUGCUGAGGAUGGUAUGGGGUUCUUCCAAAUUCAGACUGGUAAGAAACAUCAUAUUGUGGAUACCUUUCAGUCUUCUUGUGCAGCCCUCAUCACAGUUGAAGUUGGCGAAGUUUCUGCUCAAUUACUACAAACUGAACUCGCAAGAAUCAUUCCAGUCCGAUGGGAUUGGGAGGUGCAGCAGUUGGGGGCAAAAUCUUUUGUUGUCCCGUUUCCAAGCAGGGAGGAACUUGAUCGCAUGAUGGCAAUCGGUACCUUCACCACAAAGAACAACGAAGGCACCAUUGCUUUCGAGGAGUAUGUGGAUGAUGUGCAACCUUUCAAGAUACUUGAGCAGGUAUGGGUUACAGUCACAAAGGUGCCAAGAUUGCUUCGUUCCUUCCUUCCAUUGUGGGCAGUAGGGACAAUUAUUGGGUCCACAGAGAAGGUUGAUAUGAUACACCUGCGGGCGACUGGUCACGUUCGCAUUUUUGUGGCCGUUUAUGAUGUGAAGAAGAUCCCUAAAUUUAUUGAUGUUUGUGUUGGCACUGGUAUCUAUCGCUUGUAUUUCAAGGCUGAUGAAGCGGUGCAGGGUGACCCGAUAGAUCCAGAUGAGGAUCUAUCGGAAGAUAGUGAUAAGGAGCCAGAGGGGAGUGACCGUGAAGAUCCAGAUGAGAAUCUAUCGGAAGAUAGUGAUAAGGAGCCAGAGGGGAGUGACCGUGAGAUGGAAGAUGCGGAACCAGAUAACCCCCAAGACCCCCAGAAUAACACAAAAGCUUCAGACAAACACCCAGCACCUACUCAUAAUAUACCCCCCCAGAAGCAAGCGGCUUUAGUGCAAGAGGCGUUGGAUUUGGCAUGCACGCAGCUCAUUGAUGAGAUCAGCAUUCGAGUCAUGCUUGAGCGAGAUGAAGGGGUGUCAAGGAAGAAUUUUUCUACUCUGACAGCGGAAGAAUUGGAAGAGUAUAAUAAGCUUGUUGAUUUACCUAACAAAAUUAAUCAUUCUUCUGUCCUUUUGCCAACGCUGGAGACAUCGACUGAUCGUGUUGAGUUGGGGGUGCUACUUCACCUACAACCCCCCUACUCACUCUGCACACCGGCGCGGCCACAUCGGGGGGCUCUACACCGCCCAUAGCCCCCCACUUCGACACGAGCCAAGCCACGCCGGGCGCAGACCGCCCUAGCUCUGGGUCGACACUUCUGGAGGCCGCGCCGGACGGCAACGGCAGUGGGGGUGGCGCCACCUGUAGCCACCUGUUGCCACCCACUUCUGCUGGCCAGGAGAUCGGCAGAGUGGACUUGGAGUCUGCUCUGCUCACCACACUGGGCGCAGAUCCCAGCCGCAGCCAAGCUGCUGACCACGACGUGUUCAGUGGAGCCAACCCAGGAGCUGCUCUGCCCAUGGCCCAUCGCAUGGACGAUGUGGACGCGCCCGCGCCCGUCGGGAAGGACCUGGGAGCUGCAGUCGUGGCCCAUGCUAGCUCGGAGGGGUCUUCGCCAUCACCUACCCUCUGUGCUACGGCUGCGAGUUACACGGACGAGGCUUCUGUCUUCACCACGCCUCGGCCUUCGAAUGCAUUGGAGGCUGAUCUGGCCUCAUCGAUCUUGGUCGGGCAAACGGAGAUGAAGAACUCCGGAUCCACACCGACUGAGAAGCCGAAGGCGAUACUUGCAACAGCACCAAUUAAAGUGUUGCGCCAGAGCUCUAGGAUUGCGGCAACGGCGGGCGUCCAAACCCUACAUAAGGCCGAGAAUCUGACCGCUAAAAAGAACCUUGAAUUUCCUGGUAACUCUUUUACUAGCUUUCCAGAUUCUAAAGUUUUAUCAAACCUUGGUAGGGUAGGCAUCAACCUAGGCUCUUCAGAUGUUAUUUCUUUAAAAAACUUAGAGAUAGACAAGUUGGUGUUAUGUGCUAACAAAAAGAAAGUUAUUACUAAAUCUAAAGUCUCCAAUUCUGAGAGUGACGAUGAACGUGAUAACAAUCUUGAGGCAAUUCUCAGCCACGCUUGUGGAAAUUUAAGUGAGAAUUUGCCAGAGGAAGAGAACGAUCAAAUCAUAGAUCUUUCUCCACUCCGACGGAAGAAAAAAUAUAACAAUGCCAAGAAUACUUUUAAUGGCAAACUUCCUAAGAAGCCAAAGGCCCCCUCAAAGAUUAGUAUAAAAUGAAGGAAGUUUUCUAGAAUAGCAGAGGUCUAGGAGACUUGGCUAAGCACAGGUUUGUGGCUGAACUAGUUUAAGAGGAGCAAAUAAAUUUUAUUGCUAUCUCAGAGAUAGGCCGAGACUCGUUCCCAGAUCAUGUUCUCAAAAAUCUUUGUGGGGGUCAUGAUUUUCUCUAGCAUACCAUGGCACCCCACGGUAGAUCCGGGGGCAUUCUGUUAGGAGUAGACUUAAAUGUUUUUGACAUUGGAGCAAUCGCUGAAGGUGAUUUCUAUAUAAAAUUCACCCUAAGAGUCAAAUCGAAUGACUUCAAAUUUGUGUUGUAUACUAUUUAUGGACCAGCACAACUCCAGAAUAAGAGUGCUUUCCUAAUAGAACUCGCCAAUACAUGCUCCAAAGAAACCCUCCCAUAUCUGAUAGGAGGUGAAUUUAACAUCAUGCGAAGCCGUGAGGAUAAGAGCUCUGGAGAAUUCGAUCCCAAAUGGCCGAAUCUUUUUAAUGCAGUCAUUGAAUCUCUUGAUCUUAAGGAGAUAAUUAUGGCAGGACGCCAAUAUACAUGGGCAGGGCCAGGGGAUAAUCCAACUUUUGAAAAACUGGAUAGAAUUCUUGUAAGCACAGAGUGGGAAAUCAUGUUACCGCUGGCGACUGUGACACCGAGGGAUAGAAAUAUCUCGGAUCACACUCCUCUAGUGCUUAACACAGGGGCUUCAACCCAUCAAACUCAUAAUCGCCCUUUCAAGUUUGAAAGGGGAUGGUUGAUUCGUGAUGGAUUUUAUGAUAUGGUUGCUAAUAUUUGGCAAUCUCUAUGUGGUGAGUCCACCCCUCUUGACUGUUGGCAGUUUAAGAUACGCAGAUUACGGCAAUACCUCAGCGGCUGGGCGAGACACACAGCAGGGUCAUAUCGAAAAGAAAAAAGAGCCUGCUAGCUCUAUUAGAUAAUCUUGAUAAGAAAGCCGAGAUUUCUACUCUCUCUAAUCAUGAGAUUAAUCUCAAGCAUUAUCUAAAAGAAUGUUUAGUUAGCCUUCUCAGAGAGGAAGAAUUAAAAUGGUAUGAGAGAGCCAAGGUUAAAACCCUUCUGGAAGGGGAUGCCAACACUAGGUUCUUUCAUCUAGUGGCCAAUGGGAAACACCGAAAGCAACAUAUAUAUAAACUUGAAAAUGAUCAAGGUGUUAUCAUAGGUGAUGACCGACUCAAAAGCCACAUUACGGCUUAUUAUAAAGACCUUUUUGGUCAGCCGGACAGUGUUAAUAUAUCUCUAUGGGAAGACCAAAACCUGGAUAUUCCACAGGUAUCACCGGAGGAAAAUGACUUUCUGACUAGUCCUUUCACAGAAUCCGAAGUGAGAGAGGCAGUCUUCCAAAUGGAACAUAAUAAAGCUCCGGGACCAGACGGAUUUCCUGCGGAAUUCUAUCAGGUCUUUUGGGAAGUCAUUAAGGAUGAUCUUUUACCUUUGUUUGCGGAUCUCCAUAGGGAGGCCCUUGACCUUUAUAGCCAGAAUUUUGGUAUUAUCACUUUAAUUCCAAAAGUGAAUAAUGCUGUCAAAAUUCAGCAAUAUAGGCUAAUUUGUGUUCUUAAUGUGAGCUUUAAAAUAUUCACUAAAGUAGGAACCAACAGACUUAAUACAGUAGCUAAAACUGUAGUGAGGCCAACACAGACUGCCUUUAUGUCAGACAGGAAUAUUAUGGAAGGUGUCGUUAUCCUUCACGAAACCAUCCAUGAACUUCACACCAAAAAGUUAAACGGUGUCAUUCUCAAAAUUGACUUUGAGAAGGCAUACGACAAAGUGAAGUGGUCUUUCUUACAGCAAACGCUACGCAUGAAAGGUUUCUCCCCCAAAUGGUGCCGGUGGGUUGAAACCAUGGUUACUGGAGGAAGCGUGGGCAUCACAGUCAAUGAUGACGUUGGACCAUACUUCCAGCCCAAACGUGGACUCAGACAGGGAGAUCCCAUGUCACCAAUCUUGUUCAACAUCGUAGCUGAUAUGCUAGCUCUUCUAAUUAAUAGAGCAAAAGCCGAUGGUCAAAUAAGAGGUGUUGUCCCCCAUCUUUUAGAUGAUGGUUUAUCUAUAUUACAAUAUGCAAAUGACACCAUUAUCUUUGUUGAUCAUGACCCAGAACAAGCACAAAAUCUGAAACUGUUGCUUUGUGCUUUUGAACAGCUAUCAGGGUUGAAGAUCAACUUCCACAAGAGUGAAGGUUUCUGCUAUGGGGAAGCUAAAGAACGGGAAUCCUACUAUACCAGUCUCUUUGGAUGCAAUAUUGGGGAAUAUCCCUUCAGAUAUCUACGGAUCCCAAUGCACAUAGACAACUCCUCAAUUCUGAGUGGAGAAAGGUGGAAGACCGUUUCAAACAGAAACUCUCUUGCUGGAAAGCAAAAUACCUGUCUUAUGGGGGAAGACUAAUUCUGCUUAACUUAGUCUUAAGCAGCCUACCUAUGUUUAUGAUGUCCUUCUUCGAGAUCCCCAAAGGGGUCGCUGAAAAACUAGAUCAUUAUAGAUCACGGUUCUUCUGGCAAAGUACCUCAGACAAGCACAUAUAUCGUCUUGCUAAAUGGGAUAUUCUUUGUCGUCCUAAGGACCAAGGAGGAUUAGGUAUCCUGAAUCUACAGGUGCAGAAUAAAUGCCUUCUAGCCAAAUGGCUUGUUAAUUUGCUAAGCACAGUUGGCACGUGGCAAACUCUUCUAAGGAAUAAAUACCUAAGGUCCAAGAGCCUAACUCAGGUGGCAGCAAAGCCAAAUGACUCUCAUUUUUGGAGAAGCCUUAUGCAUAUCAAAGAUGAGGUCAUAGCUAAAGGCUCCUUUGAAAUUAAAGAUGGAACCAACACUAGGUUCUGGGAUGAUACAUGGGUAGCUGAUAAGCCUCUGAAAGUUAAAUAUCCAUCCUUAUAUAAUAUAGUGCGGGAUCCUCACGCAACAGUCUCAAAAGUGAUGGCUACUAGCCCACUAAACACAUCUUUUAGAAGGGCCUUGGUGGAUAAUAAACUUGCAGAAUGGCUUAGUUUAGUAGCAAAGAUUUCAAAUGUCGAACUGGUGGGAGGUUCUGAUUACUUCAGAUGGGGCCUUACCAAUUCUAGACUAUUCUCUGUCCGCUCUAUGUAUCUAUAUCUUAUAGAUACACAAAUACCUUUUCGGCAUAAGAAAAUCUGGAAGAUAAAAAUUCCUCUAAAAAUCAAAAUUUUCCUAUGGUUCUUGCAAAGGAGGGGUCGUCUUAACCAAGGACAACCUCGCCAAGAAAAAUUGGAAAGGAAGUCAAAAGUGUAUAUGUUGUAAUGGGAAUGAGAAUAUCCAACACUUGUUCCUGGACUGUCCCUUUACCAAAAUGAUAUAGAGAAUUAUUUUCUUUGCUACUAAUUUGUCCCAACCAAGAUCAAUCAGCCACAUGUUUGGUAACUGGCUAUCUAAUCAAAAUAAAAGGAUUAGGAAUUUGAUCUGGGUGGGGGUGGCUGCCAUGUUUUGGGCAAUUUGGAGAUGCCGUAACGAUGUUGUUUUCGAUCAAAAGAAAUAUAACACUAUCUUGCAGGUUAUCUUCAGAGCAGCAUAUUGGCUACGCUCUUGGGCCCAGCUGCAGCGUGAUGAGACAGCCAAGGACGCACUCUCUACGAUAAGCAAGAAAUUGGAAGUAGUUGCUUUAGAGAUUUCCAAUAAAGGAUGGAAACAUUUGUAUUGUUUGAACUAGCGUCCUAGUCGAUUUGUAGACUUUGGCUGUCUCUAUUUAUUUUCUCCAAACUUUGCAAUAUUUGGCUGUGUACAUCCACGGAUGUAGAUGCCGGAUACUUUAUAUACAUUAUCUAAAAAAAUCUAAACUUGUGGUGCAUUAUGUCUGUUUUACAAAAAAAAUUAAACUAAACAAAGCCUCGGUGAUGCUGAUGUAGUUGACAGGGGGUUAGGGACUGUUUUUUCUUUUCAUAAAAACAGAGCACCUCCAUUUCUGUGACCGUGGAAGUAUAUCUAACCUUGGUCACGUUGGGUAUUAUGCCAUGUUUAGUUCCUAAAAAUUUUAAAAUUCCUCAUCAUAUAAAAUCUUUAGACGCAUGUAUGAAACAUUAAAUAUAAAUAAAAAAUAACUAAUUACAUAGUGUAUCUAUAAUUUACGACACGGAUAUUUUAAAUCUAGUUAGUUUAUGAUUGAAUAAUAAUAGUUAAAUACAAAUGAAAGUGUCACAGUAGCCAAAUCUAAAUUUGUUCACCAACUAAACAACGCCUUAACACCAAACAUUGAUGGUCAACACGGGCGCCUGAUCGCAUCCAUGCAUGGCUGAUGCUGAUGGAACGCACCGGAAUCUCAGAAGCGUCUCUUGUCAGUACUACGUGCUGCUCCGAAGGCCCUGUUUAGAUUGGAGAUGAAAAUUUUUUAGGUGUCACAUCGAAUGUGUCGGAAGAAUGUCGAGAGGGAUUUUAGAAACUAAUAAAAAAACAAAUUACAUAGUUCAUCAGGAAACUACAAGACAAAUCUAUUAAGCAUAAUUAAUCUAUCAUUAACACAUGCGGCUAAUCAUGGAGUAACUAGGCUUAAAAGAUUCAUCUCACGUUUUUCAAUCAAACUGUGUAAUUAGUUUAUUUUUUAUGUACAUUUAAUGUUUCAUGUAUGUGUCCAAAGAUUCGAUGGGAUGGACGAAAAAAAUUUUAGGUGGGAAGGCCCUGUUUAGUUCCCCACCCAAAAUUUUUUCAUCCAUCCCAUCGAAUCUUUGGACACAUGUAUAGAACAUUAAAUGUAGAUAAAAAAAUAAACUAAUUAUACAGUUUAGUUAAGAAUCGUGAGACGAAUCUUUUAAGCCUAGUUACUCCAUGAUUAGCCUUAAGUGCUACAGUAACCCACAUAUGCUUAUGACAGAUUAAUUAUGCUUAAUAAAUUUGUCUUGCAGUUUCCUGACGAGUUAUGUAAUUUGUUUUUUUAUUAGUUUGUAAAACCUCUCCCGACAUUCUUCCGACACAUCCGAUGUGACACCCCAAAAAUUUUCGUUCUCAAUCUAAACAGGCCUGGCCCUGUUUAGUUCCUCACCCAAAAAUUUUUCAUCCAUCCCAUCGAAUCUUUGGACACAUGCAUGGAACAUUAAAUGUAGAUAAAAAAAUAAACUAAUUACACAGUUUAGUUGAGAAUCGCGAGACGAAUCUUUUAAGCCUAGUUACUCUAUGAUUAGCCUUAAGUGCUACAGUAACCCACAUAUGCUAAUGACAAAUUAAUUAUGCUUAAUAAAUUUGUCUUGCAGUUUCCUGACGAGCUAUGUAAUUUGUUUUUUUAUUAGUUUCUAAAAACCCCUUCCGACAUCCUUCCGACACAUUCGAUGUGACACCCAAAAAAUUUUCAGCCCCAAUCUAAACAGGCCCUAAGACAAGCGGUAGCGUACUGCUCCUAAGACAAGCGGUAGCGUACGGCUGAUCAACGUGUGUGGUCUUGUCUUGCGAGCAGCACGUAGUACUGACAAGAGACGCUUCUGAGAUUCCCACAGUACUACUCCUACGUCUCCACUGUACUGGUGCUGUGCUGGCCAGUGUACAGUACAACGGAUGGAGGAAGCAGCACGAGCUGCGGCCGGUUCGGGAUCAGUCGCAAAUGGGCACGCUAGCGUGGCAGCGUGUCGCGUUGCGUCAAUUCUUCUAUCUGGUAGCAUAAAUUGUACUGUUUGAACACCACCCGUGGUUCCCAAAUGGCCUUAUUUAGUUUCAAAAUAUUUUGGAAAAAUAGAUGUUGUAGCAUUUUCGUUUGUACAUGACAAAUUUUGUUGAAUCAUAAACUAAAUAGGUUCAAAAGAUUCAUCUCGUAAAUUACAAUCACAAACUGCGUAAUUUAUAUUUAAUAUUCAAUGCAUGUGUCGUAAGAUUUGAUAUGAUAGACAAAUGUGCAAUGGCCUUGUUUAGUUCACCCCAAAAACCCAAAACUUUUCAAAACUAUCCGUCAUAUCGAAUCUUGCGGCGCAUGUAUGGAGCAUUAAAUAUAGAUAAAAAUCUAUAUUUAAUAUUUCAUGCAUGUGUCGCAAGAUUCGAUACGACCAAGAAUGUGGCCUCGUUUAGUUCAUCCAAAAAACCUAAAACUUUUCAAGAUUUUUCGUCACAUCGAAUCUUGCGGCACACGCAUGGAACAUUAAAUAUAGAUGAAAAAUAAAAACUAGUUAUAUAGUUUACUUGUAAAUCGCGAAAUAAAUCUUUUAAGCCUAGUUACUCCAUGAUUAGACAAUGUUUGUCAAAUAAAAACGAAAGUAUUAUAGUGUCGAUUUCAAAAAAAAAAGGAACUAAACAAGGCGUAAAAAAAUCCCUAUGCUACCAACAAGUAACAUCAUAGGCUCACACUUCACAAAAAAUUAGUUCUAGCAGCGGCAACCAGAUCAAAAGAAAAAAUUUAACACACAUAAUAUGAUGAUGUACAAAGGGUUACAGUAUAACUGUAGCAAUGCACAUUCUAUCCAUGUUCCACUAAUAGAUUUACUAGACAGCAACGACCAAAAUUAUCCAAAUGAAUGAUACAACAACAAAAUCAGUUACAAAGUUGAGGUAUUAAUUCCCCUGGACGCCCACUGCCUCCACUGGUCCUAUGCAUGUUAAAUAUUUGUAGGCAACAUAAACAGAGGAUACGACCAGG